CUCGUAGGCGGUUCAACAAGUCGGUCGUGAAAGCCCGGGGCUCAACCCCGGGACGCCGGUCGAAACUGUUGUGACUUGAGUUCGGUAGAGGUGAGUGGAAUUCUCGGUGUAGCGGUGGAAUGCGCAGAUAUCGAGAGGAACACCCGUAGCGAAGGCGGCUCACUGGGCCGAUACUGACGCUGAGGAGCGAAAGCGUGGGGAGCAAAUA
RNAcentral lists this ribosomal RNA (208 nucleotides) under uncultured bacterium. RNAcentral describes it as "partial 16S ribosomal RNA". It matches the Rfam family "Bacterial small subunit ribosomal RNA", at positions 568 to 774 of the family's 1533-position model. The record is from RNAcentral.